This 497-nucleotide ribosomal RNA is filed under the name uncultured bacterium. RNAcentral's name for it is "partial 16S ribosomal RNA". It matches the Rfam family "Bacterial small subunit ribosomal RNA", at positions 28 to 507 of the family's 1533-position model. The record is from RNAcentral.
GAUGAACGCUGGCGGCGUGCCUAAUACAUGCAAGUCGAGCGAACAGACGAGGAGCUUGCUCCUCUGACGUUAGCGGCGGACGGGUGAGUAACACAUGGAUAACCUACCUAUAAGACUGGGAUAACUUCGGGAAACCGGAGCUAAUACCGGAUAAUAUAUUGAACCGCAUGGUUCAAUAGUGAAAGACGGUUUUGCUGUCACUUAUAGAUGGAUCCGCGCCGCAUUAGCUAGUUGGUAAGGUAACGGCUUACCAAGGCGACGAUGCGUAGCCGACCUGAGAGGGUGAUCGGCCACACUGGAACUGAGACACGGUCCAGACUCCUACGGGAGGCAGCAGUAGGGAAUCUUCCGCAAUGGGCGAAAGCUUGACGGAGCAACGCCGCGUGAGUGAUGAAGGUCUUCGGAUCGUAAAACUCUGUUAUUAGGGAAGAACAAAUGUGUAAGUAACUAUGCACGUCUUGACGGUACCUAAUCAGAAAGCCACGGCUAACUACGUG